RNAcentral lists this ribosomal RNA (388 nucleotides) under uncultured bacterium. RNAcentral's name for it is "bacterial SSU rRNA". It matches the Rfam family "Bacterial small subunit ribosomal RNA", at positions 30 to 417 of the family's 1533-position model. The record is from RNAcentral.
AUUGAACGCUGGCGGCAUGCCUUACACAUGCAAGUCGAACGGCAGCGCGGGGCAACCUGGCGGCGAGUGGCGAACGGGUGAGUAACAUAUCGGAACAUACCCUAGAGUGGGGGAUAACGUAGCGAAAGUUACGCUAAUACCGCAUACGCACUAAGGUGGAAAGUGGGGGAUUCGCAAGAACCUCAUGCUCAUGGAGUGGCCGAUAUCUGAUUAGCUAGUUGGUGAGGUAAAGGCUCACCAAGGCGACGAUCAGUAGCUGGUUUGAGAGAACGACCAGCCACACUGGAACUGAGACACGGUCCAGACUCCUACGGGAGGCAGCAGUGGGGAAUUUUGGGACAAUGGGGGCAACCCUGAUCCAGCAAUGCCGCGUGAGUGAAGAAGGCCU